Molecule: long non-coding RNA, 909 nt
Organism: Betta splendens (Siamese fighting fish)
Lineage: Eukaryota; Metazoa; Chordata; Actinopteri; Anabantiformes; Osphronemidae
Exons: 2
Source: RefSeq, a predicted model, not a curated record
ACCACUUUUUCGACCGUGAAGGUGACACAACACACUCUAUUAUGUGUGUGUGGUACACAAUCAAGGAUCUGGACAACAAUGAAGAACUUAAGUUUGACAUGAAAGGCCGUAUUUAGUAAACUCCUGAAGUGCUCACGGGGACUAAUCCAGUCCAGAGCGGUGGAGCAACGUGAGCUGCACGACAGUCAGGCCUGGGUCCAGUUUGGCACAGAGGUGAAAAGACAAUAGCUUUCAGGAGACCGGUUCCAGCUUCGGACCAACAUAAUGUCAUUAACACAUGUUUACAUGACUCCGUUCCUCCAAACUGCGGGAGCCGUUUACUUUACGUAAAACACCUUUAUAGGUAUAUUUACCAAGUGUGUUUCCACUGCUGCAUCCAAACGCGCCAUGUCGUCCUGCAGAACCCUGGCGCACAACAGACAUUAAAGAUAAAACGAUACACAGUGCAUAUAUAUGUAAACCGACAGGCCUUUGUUCUUGACAGCAGCGUACAGAUGCUGUUCAUGGGCUAAGACUGAACAUGCAUUUGCGAGGAGACUCCAGUGUUUGUGGCGCGUUUUCUCUCUUUGCAACGCCCAUUUGAAACCUUUGGACACGGGCUAUUUCCUGCAGUCCAAUCCAUUCUCAUUUGUCAUCACUGCAGGGUAAGUGGGCACAUGUGUCGCAUAUCCCUAAUCCGCUUAUGCAACUAAUCUUUGUAUGCGGUUCGAAUUUACUUUUCCAACAUCAAAGCCCGUGGAUUUGUCGUGCGGGGACGUGCUGAGGAGACGGUGUAAUAUUUUAUUUUGACCAGGUGGCUCAGUGCUUCACGUGGACGGACUUUGGCUCCGUUCAGCCGCUUCGUACGCGAGACCGUUUGUUUCGUUUGGUGACAGAAUUCGUCUUAUAUAAUAAAACUGACGACAACUC